RNAcentral lists this ribosomal RNA (517 nucleotides) under uncultured fungus. Its description in RNAcentral is "SSU rRNA". It matches the Rfam family "Eukaryotic small subunit ribosomal RNA", at positions 209 to 726 of the family's 1831-position model. Lineage: Eukaryota; Fungi. The record is from RNAcentral.
AUUAGAUUAAAAACCAAUGCCCUUCGGGGCUCUCUGGUGAUUCAUGAUAACUUCUCGAAUCGCAUGGCCUUGCGCCGGCGAUGGUUCAUUCAAAUUUCUUCCCUAUCAACUUUCGAUGUUUGGGUAUUGGCCAAACAUGGUUGCAACGGGUAACGGAGGGUUAGGGCUCGACCCCGGAGAAGGAGCCUGAGAAACGGCUACUACAUCCAAGGAAGGCAGCAGGCGCGCAAAUUACCCAAUCCCGACUCGGGGAGGUAGUGACAAUAAAUACUGAUACAGGGUCCUUUCGGAUCUUGUAAUUGGAAUGAGUACAAUUUAAAUCCCUUAACGAGGAACAAUUGGAGGGCAAGUCUGGUGCCAGCAGCCGCGGUAAUUCCAGCUCCAAUAGCGUAUAUUAAAGUUGUUGUGGUUAAAAAGCUCGUAGUUGAACCUUGGGCCUGGCUGGCCGGUCCGCCUCACCGCGUGUACUGGUCCGGCCGGGCCUUUCCCUCUGUGGAACCCUAUGCCCUUCACUGGG